CCCCCCCCCCCCCCCCAUACCUCUUCAAUUGGACAGAAACCCCAAAGUCUCUGAGAACCGGGCAAUUCUCCACUGGGUUUUCGAGAGGAUUUCAGGUGGUUUGAUGAUGACUGGGCUUGCUGACUUAGCAAAAGUGAAAAGGGACAGUAUUUCACCUGAUCGCGCUGUCGCUGCCUUUCUUUCCUGAUUGCCUCUUCAUCUCUGCCUGCAUCCUCCUGGCCACCUCUGCCGUCGUCGUUGUCGCUGUGGCCCUCAUCUCCGCCGACACCAUGGCUGCAGGUACGUCGCCGACCCCUAUUUCCUGCUCCCCUUCUCAGGAAUGCACAUGAAUGGAAUGCACACUUAGUGAGACAGGGAACAAAAAAAAGAAAACAAGACUAGGAAGCUUUUGAUGCAUUUCAAGUACAAAAAACAUUUCAAGCAGAUGUAGCUAAGGUUGCUCCUAUGGCUGCCAAUGACAGAAAAAGGAUGGGAAUUGCUAUGCAGUCCACACCUGUUGCUGUCAAUCAAGAAAGGAGGGAAGCUGGAAGCCUGAAGAUCUCUGAACCAAGCUCACAGCCAAAGCUCUUAUGUAUUCCCUCUGUAAACAAAUAUAAUACGUUUUAGGCCACUAAAACAGAGGUAGUAGUACCUAAGCACUGUGUGUUCAACCUUGCUGCUUGCAAGGAAACCAUCAAUACCAAAAAAGGCCCCUCACUAUGACAACCAAGACAUGUUUCACUACUUUCAGACAUGUUGCUACUGUUUUUUUUGGCACAUUGUACUACUUGAUAUGACUGUUACAGUACUGUUUUUUUUGGCAAAAUGCACCUUCUGCUAUGAUUGCUACU
Non-coding RNA from Aegilops tauschii subsp. strangulata, 830 nucleotides. The record is from RefSeq and is a predicted model, not a curated record. Lineage: Eukaryota; Viridiplantae; Streptophyta; Magnoliopsida; Poales; Poaceae.